Wyeomyia smithii (pitcher-plant mosquito) is the source of this 486-nucleotide long non-coding RNA. RefSeq lists it as uncharacterized. The record is from RefSeq and is a predicted model, not a curated record. The transcript has 3 exons. Lineage: Eukaryota; Metazoa; Arthropoda; Insecta; Diptera; Culicidae.
GCACUCACGAUCCAGUGUGCCCCUCGAUUGAUCGAGCGAGAUCGAUUUAACACGAUCGCUUGUGACGGAUGACUGACAAGACGGUAGGUCUGUCAUCGGCUGGGUAAGUGACAAUAGAGAGUAACAAUCUAAAAGCCGAUAUAACGUGUGCUUGCAGCUCUACCACGAAAUAUAUUGUUCUUAAAUACUAUUACCUAAAUACUUGCGUGAAAUUAAACAUCUAAAUACUUAAAACUAAUUAGAUUAAACUUACCUAAGUGCUUAUAGAGAUAGCCAACCUUAAACAUAACCUAGAAGAAUCUCUGUUAUCUGAUUCUAAAAAUACGGUUAAAAUUAUAAGAGGGACUAAACGAAAAUUAUAAUAUCCCCGAGACAUCGUAAGACUACGUGUUUUUGAUAUUAAAAUUACGGAAGAAACCCCCUCAGUCUGUUGCCACUCGCAACAUUUUAUAAUUUUCGUUUACGCGAACGAAUCGAAUUAUGUAC